CCUACGGGAGGCAGCAGUGAGGAAUAUUGGUCAAUGGGCGCGAGCCUGAACCAGCCAAGUAGCGUGAAGGAUGACUGCCCUACGGGUUGUAAACUUCUUUUAUAAAGGAAUAAAGUGAGUCACGUGUGCCUCUUUGUAUGUACUUUAUGAAUAAGGAUCGGCUAACUCCGUUCCAGCAGCCGCGGUAAUACGGAGGGUCCGGGCGUUAUCCGGAUUUAUUGGGUUUAAAGGGAGCGUAGAUGGGUUGUUAAGUCAGUUGUGAAAGUUUGGGGCUCAACCGUAAAAUUGCAAUGGAUACUGGCAGGCUUGAGUACAGUGGAGGUAGGCGGAAUUCGUGGUGUAGCGGUGAAAUGCUUAGAUAUCACGAAGAACCCCGAUUGCGAAGGCAGCUUACUACACUGCCACUGACAUUGAUGCUCGAAAGUGCGGGUAUCAAACAGGAUUAGAUACCCCUGUAGUC
RNAcentral lists this ribosomal RNA (460 nucleotides) under uncultured bacterium. RNAcentral describes it as "partial 16S ribosomal RNA". It matches the Rfam family "Bacterial small subunit ribosomal RNA", at positions 338 to 795 of the family's 1533-position model. The record is from RNAcentral.